CCUACGGGGGGCAGCAGUGGGGAAUAUUGGACAAUGGGCGAAAGCCUGAUCCAGCCAUGCCGCGUGUGUGAAGAAGGCCUUCGGGUUGUAAAGCACUUUCAGUGGGGAAGAAAGCCUUGGGGCUAAUACCCUCGAGGAAGGACAUCACCCACAGAAGAAGCACCGGCUAACUCCGUGCCAGCAGCCGCGGUAAUACGGAGGGUGCGAGCGUCAAUCGGAAUUACUGGGCGUAAAGCGCGUGUAGGCGGUCUGAUAAGCCGGUUGUGAAAGCCCCGGGCUCAACCUGGGAACGGCAUCCGGAACUGUCAGGCUAGAGUGCAGGAGAGGAAGGUAGAAUUCCCGGUGUAGCGGUGAAAUGCGUAGAGAUCGGGAGGAAUACCAGUGGCGAAGGCGGCCUUCUGGACUGACACUGACGCUGAGGUGCGAAAGCGUGGGUAGCAAACAGGAUUAGAUACCCGGGUAGUC
This 465-nucleotide ribosomal RNA is filed under the name Vreelandella stevensii. Its description in RNAcentral is "partial 16S ribosomal RNA". It matches the Rfam family "Bacterial small subunit ribosomal RNA", at positions 338 to 795 of the family's 1533-position model. Lineage: Bacteria; Pseudomonadati; Pseudomonadota; Gammaproteobacteria; Oceanospirillales; Halomonadaceae. The record is from RNAcentral.